This 102-nucleotide microRNA precursor is filed under the name Marmota monax (woodchuck). Lineage: Eukaryota; Metazoa; Chordata; Mammalia; Rodentia; Sciuridae. The record is from RNAcentral.
AUGUGAGUCACUUGAAGAUCUUUUUAAAAAUAUAGGUUUUAGAUCAGUGAAGCUUGAGGUCUGAGAUUCUGAAUUUUUGACAAGCUCACAAGUGAUGGCAAU